CUGAACAACCGGUCUUAGCACCGGGGACUCGUCUUUGAAGUGCUUUUAAAAAAUGUCAGUGCUCAAAACUUGCGCUGGCCUUGAAUACUACUGCAUGGAAUAUAACAAUAGGACUCCGGUUCUGUUUUGUUGGUUUUCGAAACACCCUGAAAUGAUUAUAAGGGACAGAGGGGGCAUUCAUAUUGCGACUUUCCAAGUGAAAUUCUUGGAACGUCGCGAGAAAGACAACUGCGAAAGCUUUUGCUAAGAAUCACUAUCGGAAUGAGAACAAUUUAAAUCCUUUAACGAGGAUCUAGCGGAGGGCAAGUCUGGUGCCAGCAGCCGCGGUAAUUCCAGCUCCGCCAGUGUAUAUCUAUGCUGCUGCGGUUAAAAAG
RNAcentral lists this ribosomal RNA (374 nucleotides) under Nematoda sp. RNAcentral describes it as "bacterial SSU rRNA". The stretch from base 187 to 374 matches the Rfam family "Eukaryotic small subunit ribosomal RNA", at positions 1 to 626 of the family's 1831-position model. The record is from RNAcentral. Lineage: Eukaryota; Metazoa; Nematoda.